This 234-nucleotide long non-coding RNA is filed under the name Lathyrus oleraceus (garden pea). Its description in RNAcentral is "Pisum sativum (pea) long non-coding RNA (PSAT_LNC001210)". Lineage: Eukaryota; Viridiplantae; Streptophyta; Magnoliopsida; Fabales; Fabaceae. The record is from RNAcentral.
UUGAACCACCUUAUUAAUCAUUUGUUGUUGAGACGUUAUAUGUCAAACUCUAUUGUUUUGGAUGCUUAACUCACAUUAUUAGAUUUUGUUGGUUUUUAUGUUUGGUGAAACACGUGCGACACUCUAAGUGUUGAGUUAAAAUUGAAUUAUUUUACUAAAUGUUAAGCCAGGAAAUUAUGGUGUUACAUAGUUGGUAUCAUAGUAGGUCGCUCCAUCCGACAAGGUUGUGUUAUU